Molecule: ribosomal RNA, 770 nt
Filed under: uncultured Neocallimastigales
Lineage: Eukaryota; Fungi; Neocallimastigomycota; Neocallimastigomycetes; Neocallimastigales
Description: partial large subunit ribosomal RNA
Rfam family: Eukaryotic large subunit ribosomal RNA
Source: RNAcentral
CGCAUCUGUGCAUGCAGCAUAUCAAUAAGCGGAGGAAAAGAAACUAACAAGGAUUCCCUCAGUAACGGCGAGUGAAGCGGGAAGAGCUCAAAUUUGAAAUCUUGAAAGGUCACCUUUCACGAAUUGUAGUUUAAAGAAGUGUUUUCUGUUACGAUCGUAAUAUAAGUUCUUUGGAAUAGGACAUCACAGAGGGUGAGAAUCCCGUCUAUGAUUGCGAUUUGUAGCUUUGUGAUACACUUUCAAAGAGUCGGGUUGUUUGGGAAUGCAGCCCAAAACGGGAGGUAAAUUUCUUCUAAGGCUAAAUAUUGGCGAGAGACCGAUAGCGAACAAGUACCGUGAGGGAAAGAUGAAAAGAACUUUGAAAAGAGAGUUAAAUAGUACGUGAAAUUGUCAAAAGGGAAGCGUUUAACACCAGUGUUGUUUUCUGAAAAUCAACCUCUGUUAGCUUUAUGCAUGUUUGUUUAGACCUAAUCAGCUAUCUUGCAUGUUCUAUUGUUUGCAGUGGUGCACUUUUCAGUUUACAGGUCAACAUCAGUUUUUUUUACCGUAAAAAAGUUAAAGAAAGGUAGCUCAUGGCUCCGGUCGUGAGUGUUAUAGUCUUUUUCCUAUGCGGUAGGAGAGACUGAGGUCUGCAGUGUAGGCUAUUUGGCUAGAUACUCAGGUGCUAUGUGAUACCAUUUCAUAAACAACUUGUUGAUUAUGUUUUGUCUAUUGCAUACUCGCUUGUACUAUCAUACCUACGCUUAGGAUGUUGACGAUCAGCUGACGCG